CACGUAGGGCGCAAGCGUUGUCCGGAAUUAUUGGGCGUAAAGAGCUCGUAGGCGGUCUGUUGCGUCCGCUGUGAAAACUCGGGGCUUAACCCCGAGCCUGCAGUGGAUACGGGCAGACUAGAGGUAGGUAGGGGAGAAUGGAAUUCCCGGUGUAGAGGUGAAAUUCGUAGAUAUCAGGAGGAACACCAGUGGCGAAGGCGGCUUCCUGGACACCAACUGACGCUGAGACGCGAAAGCGUGGGGAGCAAACAGG
Molecule: ribosomal RNA, 253 nt
Filed under: uncultured bacterium
Lineage: Bacteria
Description: partial 16S ribosomal RNA
Rfam family: Bacterial small subunit ribosomal RNA
Source: RNAcentral